This is a long non-coding RNA of Leucoraja erinaceus (little skate), 3657 nucleotides long. RefSeq lists it as uncharacterized. The record is from RefSeq and is a predicted model, not a curated record. NCBI's taxonomy places the organism in Eukaryota, Metazoa, Chordata, Chondrichthyes, Rajiformes, Rajidae. The transcript has 3 exons.
UGAAGAUUUUUAUCUGAUUUUCCCUUUUUAAAAUUCAGAGAUUCCUUUGGCUACACUAUUAUCUUUUCAGGUAGGAGGGCGGAAGGGUCAGGCCUGCAGUUUUAUAUGGCUGCUGUCAUUGCCAUCUCGUAAGCCAAUGGAAACAGAAAUAUAAUCACAUGCCUAGAAAAAUACUCUCAGCACAUUAGCCCACUUCAGAGCACAAGGGGGGAAUAAUGGUCAGGUCCCUAGUCUGAAACUGAGCUUGGAAAAUAAAGCAUGGGAUUUAAAAGUACACAUUAUCCUUCUGCUUUACAGAUUAUAAAACAGUCUCUGACUCACAGAAACAUGGUAUGCUUUGGCUGCCAAUGAAACAGAUGGGAUUCUCCAUUCACUGCAAGACUCUUUAAAAAUAUGUAUGGCAGGAUUUGUCCAUGACAAUACCCAAUGGACUUAAUAAAAAGCAUUGGAUGGAGAAAGACAUCCAGCAAUGAAGAAUAUUCAUCGUGCCUGUUCAAUAUCAAUUGUGAGACUUUGAGUGGAUUUAAAGGGGAUAUACAAAUCAGAAAUAGAAAUUAUAAAAUGGUAUGACAGGCAAAUUAAGCUCACUGCUGCAAACAAGAGAGGCCUGGACAAUGUACGUGGCUGUUUUGCACUCCUGGAAAAUACAUCACGAUGGCAUACAGCAAGGGACUACACAUUUAAAUAAAUGGAAGAUUCAACAGAACUUUGGGAUUUGACAAUUUAUGAUCUUAGAUGACGAGUAUAUUAUGUGUUUAGAAAAGAAUGAGACAGCUCCCAUGAGGAAAGCCGUUGGAAGGUUCAACUCGAUUGGGGCAAAGUAUAUAUUUAAGCAAAGGGAAGAGCCUGGUGGAAUCAACAAUGCAGCCAACAGCUUCCUCUGGAUUGUUAUACAGAGUUUCUCAGGGUCUCUGCAAUCACAGUACAGAGUAAACAAUGUGAAUGACAGAAUGAACAAUGUGAACCAAAACAAGGAAAUUGGAAAAAGACUAUUGUGAAGUGAAUACUUUUCAGGUAUUGGCAAAAUGAAGAAGCCACUUAAACAUGAUAACCAUAAAUUGAGGGAAUGGCUGCAUCAAAGGAAUAGCCUUUAGGUCAACCAUAAAUGCAUUGGCUCUCUGUCAGAGCAGCCAUCUAUCAGAGACCUUUCUAAUUCCACCCACUGAUCACUUUGCUCUUCCCUCUUCUCUCUACUCUUGCAAACAUACUUAUUUAAACCAUAUAUUUAUCUAGACUUUGAAGGCCACAAUGGACCCUCCAACACAUCUGAAGGAAGUGCAUUCCAGAUUCCAACCACAUGCUGUGUAAAACGUUGUUCCUCAUGUUAGCCUUGAUUCUCUUCCUCUUUAUACUAUAGGAGUAUAUUAUCUUUAUAUUUUAUAUUCUUGGUGUUUGUAAUACUUGAGAUACUUAAAUAUUAUCCUUUAUCUAUUAUUAUCAUUUGUAUUAGCUUUGCUCUGCAUGUUUGGAUUAGCUUGUUUAAGUUGAGAUAAGACAUUUGUGCAAAAUAAUUGUGCUCGCCUUUGUGUGUUUUGUUGAGGGGGAAGGUGUUUGGGUUCUCCAUUCGAAGCUAGCUCACUACUUAGCGUAAAUUAGCUGUGACAGUUAUAUGAUCUUUGUAACUUUGUAAUACCCCUGGCUGAGAUAACUAAGAGAGAUAAUGGAGGCCCAAGAUUCUCUUGCAGCCAUUAGUGUAAAUCAGUGGUGACAAUUAUAUGACCUUUGUAACUCUGUAUCAAGCCCUAACUAAGAGAAAUAAGGGGCCCAAGAAGGGGAAGCCAUGUGGUUUAAACAAGGGUGUGUUACGGAAUGGAAAAUUACAGGGGAAGGAGGAGAAAAGCAAAUGCAAGUGAUAGGGUAUUGCUGAGGGAAUGUUUGCAAGUGAUUGGUUAUCGAUAAGGGCAUGUCUGCAAGUGAUUGGGUAUGGAAAUGCACCGGGGUGGGACAUACAGACAUGCCAUAAAAAGAGGCAACUCUUUGUUUGAAAGUGAACUCUCAAGUGAUUUGCUCUUUGAGUGUUCCAGCCUCAAUUUUCAAAUAAAGGUUAGAACUUCUUGAGGAAUUAUCCAUGUCGCCUGAGUUAAUUUUGAGUAUCAGCAACUACAACAAUACACCAUCGUUCAGGAGGAAACCAAAGAUCUUGGAGAAAAUCCACGCAGGUCACGUGGAGAACUCUGUACAGACAGCACCCAUGGCCGGGAUUGAACCGGGUCUCCGGCACUCAAGGGAGGAGAACAGGCAAAUGAACACGUUCAUGUUUACACGCCACCACAGACUAUGACAAUGCACUAACUAGUGGAAUACCAUUAACACUCUUAAUAAAAAAAUAACAAAGAAAAAUCAUAUUACUGCAGUGGGUCAAAUUUUUAAAUUAUUUUGUUUGAAGCGGUUUACAAUACUUUCAUUGGGAACUAGAUAAUGGUGAGCAAAGACAAUUUCUUCUUCAAUGUUCUUGAGCAUAAAACCACUGUAAUUAGAUUUUCACAUUCACGCUGUUGGUUUGAAUAACACAAAGAGCAAUGCAAUACAUUCUGCCACUGUAUGAAGGUCGAUGUAUCAUAAAUAUGAAACCUGCAUAGAGAUUCAGUUCCAUGAUGGAUAAAAAACAUGCACGGGAUUUCACUUCCAUGGAAAUGAAUCUCUGAGAUAAAUGGCAAUGCAUGGCUGCUAUGAUCUGGCAGUUGGCCGCACCCUUGGAAAAAUCCCAAAAGUUCUGCUAUCGGCUCAAGAAGCAGGACAUGGAAGCAGGAAGGCGGUGUGGCUGCGGUGAUCACAGUGAGUGAUGGUGGCGGAGGUGGCCGCAGGAGGCCUUACAGCAGGGAGAGCUUGUGGACCGAACACAGCCUGUGGCAGCUGCACAGCGCGGGUGGGGGAGCUGAUGGCAAUGCACUGGACCAGGCUGACCCCUACACCAUCGAUCCAGAGUAGCCAAGACAUGGGGCCUUAAAGGAAGAAUAUAAGAAAUUGCAUGUCUUCUUAGGUCUAGAUCGAACCUUUCAGAGACCUGAAGUUGCAAACUGGCACCAGAAAUGGCGACUCGCAGUGUGCUGGUCCAGAAGAGGAUCUGUUGUACUCAUGCAUAGUAUGAUUUGACUGGAUAGCAUGUAGAACAAGCCAUACACAUGACAAUAUUAAACUAAACUAUUACCUGACCACCCAGGUUUUCAAAAACAAAAUACUUCAAGUUCUGCCAAUUGGAAGAAAAAUGAAAGGUCUUCAACCUGUAUCAUUAAACCUGACACUGCAAUUUUCUUUCCUGACCUGUGGAUGAUUUUCCAACGUCUUCUGUUUUGACCCAAGCUUUCAUAUCAUUUUACAGUUCAUAACAGGUAUGGCUUCCAGGUGGUUAGGAAAACUCACAGGGUUAGAUAUUUUCUGGGAAAUGGUGAUUUCAAGGAAAAUGGCAUACAUUCUUCAAAUUCUCAAAGGUAUAAACAAUGUCUAAGAACAAGGGAAGCACAAACCCUGAAUUUCCACACAAUACAGUAAAAUCAUUUGUAAAAAUUAAGCUCCACUUCUCUUUCUUGCCAUGUCAUUACAUUCUUUGAGACUAGGAACCAAUUAAUCUCAGCCUUGAAUAUACUGAACUAGUCAACCUCAACAGUCUUUUAGGGUAAAUAACUCACAAUCCUCUGAUUAAGGAUAUUUCUCCUCUAC